GGUCUGAUGGCGUAGUUGGUUAUCGCAUCUGUCUAACAGCUUACGUAAGCCGAUCACAGAAGGUCGCCAGUUCGAAACUGGCUCAGAUCA
Molecule: non-coding RNA, 90 nt
Organism: Hygrophoropsis aurantiaca
Lineage: Eukaryota; Fungi; Basidiomycota; Agaricomycetes; Boletales; Hygrophoropsidaceae
Source: the annotation of a GenBank genome assembly